Molecule: ribosomal RNA, 134 nt
Filed under: Pteropus alecto (black flying fox)
Lineage: Eukaryota; Metazoa; Chordata; Mammalia; Chiroptera; Pteropodidae
Source: RNAcentral
GUCUACGGCCAUGAUACCCUGAACAUGCCUAAUCUCGUCUGAUCUCAGAAGCUAAGCAGGUUCGGGCAUGGUUAGUGCUUAGUAUUCUCACAGCUGUGCUGUAUCACGACUAGAGAGACUGAGUGCUGUACACA